Molecule: ribosomal RNA, 552 nt
Filed under: Bacillus sp. (in: firmicutes)
Lineage: Bacteria; Bacillati; Bacillota; Bacilli; Caryophanales; Bacillaceae
Description: bacterial SSU rRNA
Rfam family: Bacterial small subunit ribosomal RNA
Source: RNAcentral
GAGCGACUGAUUAGAAGCUUGCUUCUAUGACGUUAGCGGCGGACGGGUGAGUAACACGUGGGCAACCUGCCUGUAAGACUGGGAUAACUUCGGGAAACCGAAGCUAAUACCGGAUAGGAUCUUCUCCUUCAUGGGAGAUGAUUGAAAGAUGGUUUCGGCUAUCACUUACAGAUGGGCCCGCGGUGCAUUAGCUAGUUGGUGAGGUAACGGCUCACCAAGGCAACGAUGCAUAGCCGACCUGAGAGGGUGAUCGGCCACACUGGGACUGAGACACGGCCCAGACUCCUACGGGAGGCAGCAGUAGGGAAUCUUCCGCAAUGGACGAAAGUCUGACGGAGCAACGCCGCGUGAGUGAUGAAGGCUUUCGGGUCGUAAAACUCUGUUGUUAGGGAAGAACAAGUACGAGAGUAACUGCUCGUACCUUGACGGUACCUAACCAGAAAGCCACGGCUAACUACGUGCCAGCAGCCGCGGUAAUACGUAGGUGGCAAGCGUUAUCCGGAAUUAUUGGGCGUAAAGCGCGCGCAGGCGGUUUCUUAAGUCUGAUGUGAA